UGGGAACGCGAAGAACCUUACCUACUCUUGACAUCCAGAGAACUUAGCAGAGAUGCUUUGGUGCCUUCGGGAACUCUGAGACAGGUGCUGCAUGGCUGUCGUCAGCUCGUGUUGUGAAAUGUUGGGUUAAAGUCCCGCAACGAGCGCAACCCUUAUCCUUUGUUGCCAGCGAUUCGGUCGGGAACUCAAAGGAGACUGCCAGUGAUAAACUGGAGGAAGGUGGGGAUGACGUCAAGUCAUCAUGGCCCUUACGAGUAGGGCUACACACGUGCUACAAUGGCAUAUACAAAGAGAAGCGACCUCGCGAGAGCAAGCGGACCUCAUAAAGUAUGUCGUAGUCCGGAUUGGAGUCUGCAACUCGACUCCAUGAAGUCGGAAUCGCUAGUAAUCGUGGAUCAGAAUGCCACGGUGAAUACGUUCCCGGGUCUUGUACACACC
Molecule: ribosomal RNA, 438 nt
Filed under: uncultured bacterium
Lineage: Bacteria
Description: bacterial SSU rRNA
Rfam family: Bacterial small subunit ribosomal RNA
Source: RNAcentral